RNAcentral lists this ribosomal RNA (460 nucleotides) under uncultured bacterium. Its description in RNAcentral is "partial 16S ribosomal RNA". It matches the Rfam family "Bacterial small subunit ribosomal RNA", at positions 338 to 795 of the family's 1533-position model. The record is from RNAcentral.
UCUACGGGAGGCAGCAGUGAGGAAUAUUGGUCAAUGGACGAGAGUCUGAACCAGCCAAGUAGCGUGAAGGAUGACUGCCCUAUGGGUUGUAAACUUCUUUUAUAUGGGAAUAAAAUGUUCCACGUGUGGGAUUUUGUAUGUACCAUAUGAAUAAGGAUCGGCUAACUCCGUGCCAGCAGCCGCGGUAAUACGGGGGAUCCGAGCGUUACCCGGAUUUAGUGGGUUUAAAGGGAGCGUAGGUGGAUUGUUAAGUUAGUUGUGAAAGUUGGCGGCUCAACCGUAAAAUUGCAGUUGAAACUGGCAGGCUUGAGUACAGUAGAGGUGGGCGGAAUUCGUGGGGUAGCGGUGAAAUGCUUAGAUAUCACGAAGAACUCCGAUUGCGAAGGCAGCUCACUGGACUUCAACUGACACUGAGGCGCGAAAGUGUGGGUAUCAAACAGGAUUAGAUACCCGAGUAGUC